Molecule: unclassified non-coding RNA, 4228 nt
Filed under: Haliotis rufescens (red abalone)
Lineage: Eukaryota; Metazoa; Mollusca; Gastropoda; Lepetellida; Haliotidae
Description: uncharacterized LOC124117491, transcript variant X1
Source: RNAcentral
UCUCGAUCGGUCAGUGGUGGGAUUUCCUAUUGCGUUUCAAGCGGGUGGAAAGUCCAGGGGAAAAUGUUUAUACCCGACUGUGGAAUGGCUUCAAAACAAACGAUUCUCAGGCAAAGAUUAUCCAGAUUCGAUGACGUUGUGUACUGGACACUGGAAUGAAGCUAUGUGGAGGGCUGGUGCCGCAUCUGACUGGCGCCAUUGUCCUGCUGUUGCUCAACUUCGGCAAGGUUGUUCAGGCUCACUGCUCAAACAAAACAUUUUACUACAAGCUGCCCAACAGCCACAAUGAUUGCGGGUUGUGCCGUAUCUGCCCCAGGGAAGUGGUGGACAGUCACCAGCUGUAUGAAAAACAUCUACAAGAAGAGUGUCAGCACCUCCCUGCCCUCCCUGAUGGUAGACUGCCACACUGUCACAGCACAUCCUUUGACAAACCAUCCUGUGAGAAGUGGGCCCCUCAUAACGGACGAGCUGUGUGCAGCAAUGGAAACACCGUCUACAGCACCUGCUUUCUCCAGUGUAAUGUGGGCUACAGACCAUCAAAUUCCACCAACAUCACCUGCACCGACCGACCACAGCCUAAGUGGGACCGUCACUUCACACACUGUACAGGUGGAGGCACAGGACUGGACACAGUAGCCGUUGUUUUCAUAGUGAUCGUCAUUGUGGCUGCAGCCGUCCUUGGUGUGGUUGUUAUUUUCAUCUGUGUCAAAAAGAAAUCGUCUACUGAUGCAGACAUCGACAUAGAGGAACAAGUAGCUCCACCAGCAGUGAGGAAUGUCAGAAUCACGCUGGCUAAUGCAACUCAGAGAUGUUACAAGCUACACAAGUGGUCUGCUAAGAGAGGCAGCACAGUGACAGUCAUGGCAUACAGUAAAGGAUGUGGGAUCCAAUAUCUUGUCCUGCUCAAGCGGGAGUCGAAAACCGGAGAUCCGGCAGUGUAUUCCAGCAAGCCUAAUGGCCCCAGCCAAGUGGACCUAGUGAGUCUUGACUACUCUCACCAGGGGUCCUACAACUGGAUCGUCCAACUGACCGAUGGGACAACAGAAAGAGGACACUUCAAGCUGGUUGUCAAGAAACACAUGUUCCCUGUGCGCUCGAUCUAUGCAGGUUUAUGUCCAUCAGGAAACAUUCCAGUUGCAGUUCAGUGCUCUGCCGGACAGCCAUCUACAUCCCCUAAGUGUGAGGCUGAUAACAUCCUGUCUCACACUCAGCCAGCAGUCGAGGAAAACAGUCUACAAGCUGUUCCAGACACCUCCCUUGUCUUGGUUACCACGGCAACAGAGGAUCUGGAGCAAAUGCCGGAACCGCAGCCUGUCAGAGACAAGAUGGAAGGUUACUCUCGACUGAUGCAGACCCGACAAGAUGUCCGCACCCUGUGUCGUCUCCUGGACAGAGAGGAGCAGGAUGGACAUGUGUCCUGGCACGUCAUCGUCACGUCGCCGCUGCUGGGAUACGACAGGGACUUUCUCUCCUUCCUAGAGUACCACCGGAAAGGCAGGAUGUAUGACGGGCCGAUGUGUCAUGUCCUGAAUCUUAUGAAACAGAACGGCACCACGGUGGAGGAGCUGAUCGAACUUCUGCAGCAGUAUCAGCCUUCAUCCAACAAAGCGAUUGCAGUCUUGGAGAAGUACUUGUGAAGAGUCCUGUAGUUCACUAUGUGCCUGUCACUGGAACACACUAGAUCUUGUCGUCAUCAGUGAACUUAUCGUAUAGAUAAUAGUGUCGCGUGUUCAGGGUGUUCCUCCAUCUCUCUGUAGAACUACCAAAUUGUCACAGACUUGUGGCCAUCUUCGAGUUCUUGCCCACCCCCAAGUUUGGCUGUUUGAGAAAAAUUACUCUCUUACAGCUAAAGCAUCCCCGCAAUUUACGUAACAUCACUGUGACCAGUGACAUCGUUAUUAAGUAUUAAAUUUAUGUGAAAUAACAAAAGAUCAUCAUGUCAUUAAAUCUUACUAAGUAUUCUUGGACAUGGUGUCAGAGACAUGUUUGUAAUGUAAUGAUUGUUACUGAUGCUUGCUGGUUUACAUGGCAGAUAUGAUGGGUCCAGAAUAUAUUUAAGACGGAAAGUAUGACAUUGGUGGGUAAUACAUACCCCACACCCAUAUUUGAAUCACAUAAACCCCUAUGCCUGUAACACAUCCCAUGGGGAUUCCAGGUUAGGGUAGGGCCACAGGGAGCUAUCUCCACAACACAUCCCAUGGGGAUUCCAGGUUAGGGUUGGGCCACAGGGAGCUAUCUCCACAACACACCCCAUGGGGAUUCCAGGUUAGGGUAGGGCCACAGGGAGCUACCUCCACAACACACCCCAUGGGGAUUCCAGGUUAGGGUAGGGCCACAGGGAGCUAUCUCCACAACACACCCCAUGGGGAUUCCAGGUUAGGGUAGGGCCACAGGGAGCUAUCUCCACAACACACCCCAUGGGGAUUCCAGGUUAGGGUAGGGCCACAGGGAGCUAUCUCCACAACACACCCGACGGCUAUUCCAGGUUAGGGUAGGGCCAAAGGGAGCUACCUCUACAACACACCCCAUGGGGAUUCCAGGUUAGGGUAGGGCCACAGGGAGCUACCUCCAAAACACACCCUAUGGGGAUUCCAGGUUAGGGUAGGGCCACAGGGAGCUAUCUCCACAACACAGCCCAUGGGUAUUCCAGGUUAGGGUAGGGCCACAGGGAGCUACCUCCAAAACACACCCUAUGGGGAUUCCAGGUUAGGGUUGGGCCACAGGGAGCUACCUCCACAACACACCCCAUGGGGAUUCCAGGUUAGGGUAGGGCCACAGGGAGCUACCUCCACAACACACCCCAUGGGGAUUCCAGGUUAGGGUAGGGCCACAGGGAGCUACCUCCACAACACACCCCAUGGGGAUUCCAGGUUAGGGUAGGGCCACAGGGAGCUACCUCCAAAACACACCCUAUGGGGAUUCCAGGUUAGGGUAGGGCCACAGGGAGCUAUCUCCACAACACAGCCCAUGGGUAUUCCAGGUUAGGGUAGGGCCACAGGGAGCUACCUCCAAAACACACCCUAUGGGGAUUCCAGGUUAGGGUUGGGCCACAGGGAGCUACCUCCACAACACACCCCAUGGGGAUUCCAGGUUAGGGUAGGGCCACAGGGAGCUACCUCCACAACACACCCCAUGGGGAUUCCAGGUUAGGGUAGGGCCACAGGGAGCUACCUCCACAACACACCCCAUGGGGAUUCCAGGUUAGGGUAGGGCCACAGGGAGCUACCUCCAAAACACACCCUAUGGGGAUUCCAGGUUAGGGUAGGGCCACAGGGAGCUAUCUCCACAACACAGCCCAUGGGUAUUCCAGGUUAGGGUAGGGCCACAGGGAGCUACCUCCAAAACACACCCUAUGGGGAUUCCAGGUUAGGGUUGGGCCACAGGGAGCUACCUCCACAACACACCCCAUGGGUAUUCCAGGUUAGGGUAGGGCCACAGGGAGCUACCUCCACAACACAUCCCAUGGGGAUUCCAGGUUAGGGUAGGGCCACAGGGAGCUAUGCUGGUCUUUAGCAACGACUGAAUUGAUUGGGUGGUCAGACUCGGUGACUUUGUUCAUUGUGUGUCAUUGUACCUGAACAUGGAUCAGUGCUCACAAUAUCGAUCACUGGAUUGCCUGAUCCAGACCCGAUUAUAUACAGGCGGCUGUCAUACAGCUUCAGUACUUGGAGACCAGGACCUGAUCAAACUAGGGCAUUCCUGGAGAAAGGAUUAUGCUGUAUAUAGUUAUCUAUUACCCAUUGUUUGUCAUUAUUGUAACUGUGCUUUUGUCAUGUAUCUGAAUUCAUAAAUAGUUUUAGCGACUGAUGUAUCCUAUUUUGGGUACAUGACAAUAUAACAAACCACUUGUCAAGAAGGACAGGGAGCUCUUGAAGAAAUAUCUUUGCAUAUUAUGGUAUAAAGGAAAAAAACAAUACAAAUUUCUUUCAUUUUUAAACUCCAAUACAUUGCUAACAAAACAUUUAAAAUUCAGAAAUUUACAAUUGUGUGAACCAAAUUUGAAUAAUUUGAAUUUUGAUAUCUUUUAUAUCUUAAAGAAGCUUAUGAGGUUUUUAUUAAUUAAACACUUUUUAGCCAUAUAUGUAUUUGGACAAAUGAAAAUAACUUGUGUAAUAUGCUUCUAACUAUAUCCAGUGUCAUUAUAAUCAAGGUAUCAAAUCAGUAUUUUAAGCUAAGCACAGAUGCACAGUUACUUUUUCCAUUUGAACAAGUGACUCUACAGUCUUUU